RNAcentral lists this ribosomal RNA (328 nucleotides) under uncultured eukaryote. RNAcentral describes it as "partial 18S ribosomal RNA". It matches the Rfam family "Eukaryotic small subunit ribosomal RNA", at positions 1470 to 1796 of the family's 1831-position model. The record is from RNAcentral.
CCCUUAGAUGUCCUGGGCCGCACGCGCGCUACACUGAGUGUCUGAGAUACGAGUCUGCCUAGCCGGCGAGGUCUAGGUAAUCGCUGAAAGACACAUCAUGCUUGGGAUAGAUUAUUGCAGAUAUUAAUCUUGAACGAGGAAUUCCUAGUAAGCGCAAGUCAACAGCUUGCGUUGAUUACGUCCCUACCCUUUGUACACACCGCCCGUCGCUACUACUGAUUGGAUGUUAAAGCGAGGUUCUCGAACUGCUAGCGACUUAGCUUCGGUGAGGUCGCCGUGUGGGAAGUGAACCUAGCUUUGGUGUCUAGAGGAAGUAAAAGUCGUAUCA